GAUUGCCCAAGAUAUUUAUUUUUGUAUAUACCACUUGAAAUAAAAAUUCUUAAGUGAAUGAACAAUUACAAUGUAUCCAUGCUAUGAAUUACAUUGUGGAGGCAGUAAGAAUAUUUAGCAAUAGGUAGAGACAUGAAAUAAUGCCCAAGAAACAUUAAAGGAGAAUAAGCAAGUUGUAAGGUAAUAUGUAUAAUAGAAUCCCACUUGGCCUAAAAAGAAAAUAGUUAAAAUAUGCAUAUUGUAGUAUGUGUAUAUAUAGAUAUGUUCAUAUAUAGCAGGUCUAGAAGGAUACACGAGUUUAUUGAGUAGGACUGAAUUUUUCUUUAUAUAUGGACAUCAAUAUCAUUUUAAUUUUAAAGGAUUUAUCUCCUUUGUGAACACCUACCUAAUGCGUAAAAGGUAGUGGAGAUACCACACGUGAAAUCUAAUUUUAAAAA
RNAcentral lists this long non-coding RNA (437 nucleotides) under Bos taurus (domestic cattle). RNAcentral describes it as "long non-coding RNA NONBTAT017303". The record is from RNAcentral. Lineage: Eukaryota; Metazoa; Chordata; Mammalia; Artiodactyla; Bovidae.